RNAcentral lists this long non-coding RNA (1157 nucleotides) under Sus scrofa (pig). RNAcentral's name for it is "lncRNA (ENSSSCG00035024039.1)". Lineage: Eukaryota; Metazoa; Chordata; Mammalia; Artiodactyla; Suidae. The record is from RNAcentral.
CCACCGAGAGCCUGGGAUUCACCAGGAUCCCAUCUCUUGGGACCUGGUGGCUGGGCCUCAUCUGCGUGGGGCCCCCGGGCCCCCUUUGGCCUCCAGAAACUCCCUUGGCUUGCAGGGGUGCCCUUGGCCGCUCCAGGCAGUGCUGCUGACUCAGCCAGGGGACAGGACAACUCCGGGCAGCACAGAAGGAAGCCUGGCUUCCGUGGCCACCAGCUCCGCUGUUCCCUGCAAGCCUGGCCGUCCCCCAAAUCCCAGCAGCCGACGCUUUGGGCAUCCACUUCCAAAAAGCCAGCUGACGUCCCCCAGACGCCCCAGGCUCCGUGGAGCGGCCACUAGCCCUGGACCAAUGAAGCAAAGCUGAGGACAAACCGGCCUGGGAGCGUACCAGUGGGCCAGUUGGCCCAAACAGAGUCAUCUAAACAUUGCUUCUUGUGGACACGACAUCUGGGAAGAACUUUUUGCCAGAGAACGAGCGGAUUUGAGUUUGAUGCUCCCGCCUAAGGGUUUUCCUAUUUUUAUAAGUACUGUUUCUUGAGUAUUUCAUAAAAUCCUAUCGCUUUGGUUCAAAAAAAUAAAAGCUCCUGGGGGGCCACAUGGAUGACGCGACAGCAGAGGGUGAGAUGCUUUGCCGACUAGAACACCCCACCACGUCCACACGGGGCCGGGCCACCCGCCGAUGGGGACCUCACCUGGGCUCGAGCAACACCUGCAUGAAGCAUCAGUGCCUGACCAUGGGGGACACCCCCGAAGGCAUUUGGGGGAGACCCCAGGACAAAUGCAGAGGGCCGCCGACGCUCUCACAGGUACCUGGGGGCAGGCCACCUGCAAGGUAUGACAGAGGUGCCCUGGGCCUCCCCUCCCCCUUCGGGGACCCUGGACGCGGCUGUGCAGGCUUCAGAAUAACCAGAACUGAAGUGGAGCCCUGAUGCCUCCUUCAGAGCAGGCCCUGCAAGGACUGGGGCUGCGGGCCUGGAAGGGCCAGGACUGGCCAAGAGCCACCUGUCGGGCACAAAAUGCCUUUGAGGCCCAGAAGGAGGAAAGGUUGGCGCUGCCUCGGGAAGAGGCCUCCCAGACGCAGAGUGCUUGUCUGGUGCCGGAGCGGCCGGUCUGAGCAGCCUGACUCUGCUUUCACGUUGUUGAGGCCCCUGGACCCCAGG